UCCUACGGGAGGCAGCAGUGGGGAAUAUUGGACAAUGGGCGAAAGCCUGAUCCAGCAAUGCAGCGUGUGUGAAGAAGGCCUGAGGGUUGUAAAGCACUUUCAGUAGGGAAGAUAAUGACGGUACCUACAGAAGAAGCACCGGCUAACUUCGUGCCAGCAGCCGCGGUAAU
Molecule: ribosomal RNA, 170 nt
Filed under: uncultured Gammaproteobacteria bacterium
Lineage: Bacteria; Pseudomonadati; Pseudomonadota; Gammaproteobacteria
Description: partial 16S ribosomal RNA
Rfam family: Bacterial small subunit ribosomal RNA
Source: RNAcentral